Molecule: ribosomal RNA, 200 nt
Filed under: uncultured bacterium
Lineage: Bacteria
Description: partial 16S ribosomal RNA
Rfam family: Bacterial small subunit ribosomal RNA
Source: RNAcentral
GAUGAACGCUAGCGGCAGGCUUAACACAUGCAAGUCGAGGGGUAUAAGGAGCUUGCUCCUCAGAGACCGGCGCACGGGUGCGUAACGCGUAUGCAACCUACCUUUCACAGGGGGGAUAGCCCAGAGAAAUUUGGAUUAAUACUCCAUGGUAUAAUUGGAUGGCAUCAUUUGAUUAUUAAAGUUCCAACGGUGAAAGAUGG